GAGAACCUGGGGACGCUAGGUUCCGGAACCUGACCUGAGCUGGGGCCUGUGCUUCCAGCGGGUGGUGGGGGGCCUGGUGUGCUGGCAUCAAGUAAGCCGACUACCUCGGCAAAGGCUUAGGGACAAGAGACCAGCAGCCUGAACUGGCUGGGGCAUCCGGAAGGCUUAGAUCUUGUGGCCAAGAGUUCAGACCGUGGCGAAGUGGAGAGUGACAUGCAGUUGGAUGGCGGUGACUGCGUGGUAUGGAAGAAAAUUCAGCUGAAAUUUGCUAGAAAAUGAGUUGUUUUGGAAAGAGACUGUAGAGAAAGGCAAAUGGAAGAAGAAAGCUUCUGUGCCCCCACAGAUACCGACUGAAAAGUGUUAGCAUGAGCAAAAGUUCCUAUCUAAUAUUAUAUGCUUUCCUUUGCUCCCAGCAUUCCACAAUCACGGGCUACUUCAAUUCUGCCUGCUGAGCUGAUUUAAUAAUCUGGAAGAGGAUUAUUCUCCCCCAUCUGGAAGAGGAUUAUUCUCUAUAAUCCCAGUUAGAGACACAAUGACAUAAACAUCGCUAUGAUGUCAGAAGUGGGAUCCAAAGUAGAGCUUAUAAUGACACCUAGGAGUGCUGAGUGACCAAGCAAGGUACCCACCAGGCCGAUUAUGUCCAUUGUUCUCUUGGAGCAGCUGGUCAUCAUGGGAAAGGGUGCCACACUGGGAAUGCAAGCUGUCCUUGCUUCUGAACCAAGACUACUAUUGUGCCAGGAAGAGGGUGGGAAAAGAAGCCAAUAAAACUUUUCUUUUGAGUGAUUUGCAGCUUUUAACAAACUGAACCUGCUUAUUUCUGUGAACCAACCAGUGAUCUCUUAUGGCUGUUCAAAAGUAACAAGAGAGAUAUCACCUUUUGUCAUAACUCAAGACUUAUGAAUGGCCCUCACCAUAAUGAUGCUUUUUGACUGAGCUCUUCUCUAACCUGAAUGCAAGAGGUUAGGCAUGAAUAUCAUCCCCCCUGUUCAGCCUGAAGAAGUUACAGAAGAUGAAUCUUCCUCUCUCUACAGCCCUUAGGAUUAAGGGUUCUCUUACUGAAUGUAUUCUUAAACUGAACACUUAUUAAUCUUCCAGAUAUCACCUUUUGUCAUAACUCAAGACUUAUGAAU
Molecule: long non-coding RNA, 1130 nt
Organism: Homo sapiens (human)
Lineage: Eukaryota; Metazoa; Chordata; Mammalia; Primates; Hominidae
Product: long intergenic non-protein coding RNA 1278
Source: Ensembl